RNAcentral lists this long non-coding RNA (2706 nucleotides) under Capsella grandiflora. Its description in RNAcentral is "long non-coding RNA (CGRA_LNC001574)". The record is from RNAcentral. Lineage: Eukaryota; Viridiplantae; Streptophyta; Magnoliopsida; Brassicales; Brassicaceae.
UUCUUCCCUUUCAUGGCUCAUGGCCACAUGAUACCAACUCUAGACAUGGCUAAGCUUUUCUCUAGCAGACGAGCCAAAUCCACAAUCCUCACCACGCCUCUCAACGCCAAGAUCCUCCAGAAACCAAUCGACGCAUUCAAGAACCUGAAUCCUGGUCUUGAAAUCGACAUCCACAUCUUCGAUUUCCCUUGCGUGCAGCUCGGGUUACCACAAGGAUGUGAAAACGCUGAUUUCUUCACUUCAAACAAUGAUGAUGGAAACGAGAUGGAAUUGAAAUUCUUUUUCUCGACAAGGUUUCUCAAAGACCAGCUUGAGAAGCUCCUUGAGACAACGCGACCAGACUGUCUUAUCGCCGACAUGUUCUUCCCCUGGGCCACUGAAGUUGCUGGGAAGUUCAAUGUGCCAAGGCUUGUGUUCCACGGCACUGGCUACUUCUCUUUAUCAACUGGUCAUUGCAUCAGAGUGCAUAAACCACAAAACAGAGUAGCUUCAAGCUGUGAGCAAUUUGUGAUUCCUGAGCUCCCUGGGAACAUACUGAUUACUGAAGAACAGAUCAUAGAUGGUGACGGAGAGUCUGAGAUGGGGAAGUUUAUGACUGAGGUUAGGGAAUCGGAAGUGAAGAGCUCAGGAGUUGUCGUGAAUAGUUUUUACGAGCUUGAACCUGAUUACGCCGAUUUUUACAAAAGCUCUGUACAGAAGAGAGCCUGGCACAUCGGUCCGCUCUCUGUUUAUAACAGAGGAUUUGAGGAGAAGGCUGAGAGAGGAAAGAAAGCAAACGUUGAUGAGGUAGAAUGCCUCAAUUGGCUUGACUCCAAGAAACCAGAUUCAGUCAUUUACGUUUCUUUUGGGAGCGUGGCAAACUUCAAGAACGAGCAGCUCAUCGAGAUCGCUCAAGGAUUAGAAGCUUCUGGCUCAAGUUUCAUUUGGGUCGUUAGGAAAAAUACAAGUAUUAAUUGUAAUUCAAGUUUAAAACAAUUAUCAGCCUAUAUAGAAUGUAAUACAACUGUGGUUUCUAAACAAACUUUGGUGUGAACAGGUGACAAUGAAGCAUGGUUACCAGAAGGGUUCGAAGAGAGGGUGGAAGGUAAAGGGAUGAUAAUAAGAGGAUGGGCUCCUCAGGUGCUGAUACUUGAACACCAAGCGAUCGGUGGGUUUGUGACCCAUUGCGGCUGGAACUCGCUUCUCGAAGGAGUAGCUGCAGGGGUACCGAUGGUGACAUGGCCGGUUGGAGCGGAGCAAUUCUACAACGAGAAGUUGGUUACGCAAGUGCUGAGGACAGGAGUGAGCGUGGGAGCGAAAAGACAUAUGAAGGUAAUGGGAGAUUUCAUUAGCAGAGAGAAAGUGGAUAAAGCGGUGAGGGAGGUGUUGGUUGGGGAAGAGGCAGAGGAGAGGCGGAGGCGGGCCAAGAAGCUGGCGGUGAUGGCUAAAUCCGCAGUGGAAGAAGGAGGGUCUUCUUUCAACGACUUAAAUAACUUCAUAGAAGAGUUUAGUUCAUAAUUUUACAUAUAGAUUCCGUUUAGGAAUCCCCUAUGAGAAGUAAAGAUGUAACCUAAUGCAAAUAUAUAUAAGAGACAAAGCAUAGGCUAAGUGAAUAAAGCACCGUUCAUUAGCAGACGGAUAAAGAUGCAAAGUUAAUGAAUAAUGAAUUUGGUAUUUGAGUUACUCUUUCUUGAAUCACAACAAUUUACUUAUGUUGUUUUUAUUAGCUGUUGAAUUCCAUCUCACCUGCUGUUCAGGUGUUAAGAAGUAUUUUUCAUAUGUCUUUUGUUAUGUGAAGAAAAGUUGGAUUUGUUCAUUAAAUUUGAAAGUGACAUAUAAGUUUGUGAUAUUGGUAAAGAACGGUGGUUGUAAUUUUUAUAGUUUAGCAGAAUUAUGUUGUAACGUUUUUUUUUUUUUNNNNNNNNNNNNNNNNNNNNNNNNNNNNNNNNNNNNNNNNNNNNNNNUUCCAAAUAGCAAUUUGCAUUCUUCUAUCUGGUGGACCAAUGGCAAUCACUCCCCUACGUGUAAUGAAUAAAGUACUACAAUAGGGUAUAUAUUCUCUAGUAAAUGCUUUUCAAUUAUCUUAGUCAAAUCACUUUUACAGUUUACUUUUUUUUUUUCCAUAAAAAAGAGAUAAACUAAUGAUAGUAAAUAAAUAUAGAUCUACAAGUUACAAGAUUUUGGUUCCAAAGGACCUUGAAAAAUGAAAACUCUUACAAAGUGACGUAUGUAAACACGUCAGAAACCAUUAUAUAUAUACCCAAAAAUAGCCCCACCCAUGAUCCAAGCUUCCAUGUGAAUUUUUGUGCUAUAUAUACACAUAGACGAUAUGUAUUAAACUCAUACUACAAACACGAAAACAUCACUUCAAGAUCUCUCAUUUCACAUAACUAUUUUUCUUUUAAGUUUCUCAGAACAUCUCAUUUUCUUUUCGACCAAAUUCAAACAUGGGUACUGAUCAUUCCCCUCGUAGGCUCCAUGUUAUGUUGUUCCCUAUCAUGGCUCAUGGCCAUAUGAUACCUACUGUAGACAUGGCUAAGCUUUUCUCUACCAGAGGCGCCAAAUCCACUAUCCUCACCACACCUCUCAACGCCAAGAUCCUCCAGAAACAAAUCGACACAUUCAAGAACCUGAAUCCUGGUCUCGAUAUCGGCAUCCACAUCUUCGACUUCCCUUGCGUGGAGCUCGGGUUACCACAAGGAUGCGAAAACGCUGAUUUCUUCACCU